Molecule: long non-coding RNA, 1531 nt
Filed under: Prunus dulcis (almond)
Lineage: Eukaryota; Viridiplantae; Streptophyta; Magnoliopsida; Rosales; Rosaceae
Description: sRNA ncRNA
Source: RNAcentral
UGACAGCCUAUUGCCCAUCUUUCACUUUUGUUUAGUCGUUCUAAGCUCUCUCAAAUCCUCUUUCACAAUUUCUCGAUCUCACUCACUCAGCCCUCCUCUCAUCUCUUCUCUCUUUCUUGCUCACACCCAUAUCGACGACAGUCACUGUCACCUCCUCAGAAACCCUAACCCACAUCGGCGACGACGACCUUUCCACCUCCAUCUCUCACUCUCAGUCACCUCUUUCGACCUCCAUGUCUAGAGAUGGCGUCUCAGGUAGACAAAUUGGCUUUUCUCCUACACAUUUGGGUUUUCUUUUCCUUGUUUCAAUUUCAUAUAAGGGUUUGAAUUUUUGGUGCUUGAUGUGAGUUCAAGUCCUUCCAAGUCAAAUUUGGGUGAGAUUGUACAGAAAUUUGUUGAAACAUAAUUGUGGGUUUAAUUUAAAAUUUUACUCUCUUUGUUUACAAUUAAUAUUUUCAGCUUGUGUAGAGAAUGUUAUUUCAGUGGGAUUAUACAAGAACUUUUUGAACUAAAAUUUUGAGAUUGUGCAACAAAUAUUUCUCAGUUUGUCUUAAGGAAUAUUAUGCUUGAAGCUUGUCCAAUCUACAAUGAUUUUGAAGAUUUUCUUUUGCUUAUUGAAUUUGAUUACUGAGUUAGGUUUUUAUUCUGACAAAAAACAAUUGAAGAAACACAGUUAUUUGGUUCAAUGGUCUGAAUUUGUUUGUUCUAUUUUGGGAUGUGAUUUUUUGAAUGAACUACAUAAAUUGAUUAUGUCUUGAGGUGGAGGAUAUCUCCAAAAGUGACUGUGGAGUUUGUAAGUUUUAUGAGAAUGCCAAUAUUUUAACAUAAGUUUGAUAUUGUAAAGUUGGCAUAUGUUGGAUCUUAGUUUUCUCUAUUUUUCGUAAUUCAAUCUUGGAUAUGUUUUUGGUGCAGUCUAUAGUCCUCAAGGUGGGUAUCAUGCCAAGAUUGUGUUGGUGCCGUGAAAAGGGUUCUUAGAAAACUUGAAGGUUUGACAGCUCUUGCAUUUAUCCAGUUCCAUUGUCUUGCUCUUCUUCUUCUCUGAGAUUGUGCUUCUUUAACUGUUUGAACAAUGCCAAAUGCACUAUUGAUGUUCCUUAUUUGUAUUUUUAUUCGCCUGCCAAGACACACAUUCACUUCACCCAUGUUUAUAAUAACUUUUAUAUUGGAAUUGAGUAGUACGAAAUCGUGUGCAUGAAUGUGAACUUUAAUUUUGCAAUGGUACUAUCUUGUGAAAGUUUGCUAUAUGAAGAAUUGGGUCAUUUAAAAAAGCCAACAAUCUGUAUGAAGAUAGGAUUCUUGAAGGUCGUCCUUCACUGGAGAAAUCACUGAUAGAUUUCUCAGAGGUAUAUAUAACUCAGCAAAAUUCAAGCUCAGCUCUUAAAAGAUGUAUAUCAUAAUAUUUUUUUUUUCUUUCUUCUAUUAAAAAAUGUAUAUCAUACUGUAGUUUUACAUUUAUCCACUCUAUUUGUUGUAGUGCAUGUAAAUGUAUGUGUAUGAUACUUGUAGUGCAUGUAAAUAUGUCUGAACUUGU